UUAAGGAUGAUCUUAUCCUUCGGUGGCUCACAGAAAACUGCCCAUGAGAUCCUAACCUUCUCCUUAUUAACCAGACCCCUGUGGAGAAUGCUCUUGAACUUUCCAUUGCUGAGGAUCUCGAUGGUGUCUCCAAUGUGCAUGAUGAUGGAGUUGGGAACACAUUUAGCGGUCACCCACUUGCCUUGGUAAAAGAGUUGGAGGCCAGGAACCAUGUUGUGGAGAAUGAAAGUGAGUGCACUUAUAUCGGUGUGAGCUUCGACACCGAGAGCGAGUUCUGGUUGUGGACACUUGGGGUAGUAAUUGAUUUUCAAUUGAAGAAGAAGCUCUUCCACGCCACCAACUUCCUUCUCUAGCCUUCCUUCUUCUAAUCCCAAGCAAAUUGAUAGUGCUGAAAGUAUUUUGCUCGCUAGGCCUCGCAGUUGCCUUGCAUACUCACUUGUAAC
This 443-nucleotide long non-coding RNA is filed under the name Gossypium barbadense (sea-island cotton). Its description in RNAcentral is "long non-coding RNA (GBAR_LNC018787)". The record is from RNAcentral. Lineage: Eukaryota; Viridiplantae; Streptophyta; Magnoliopsida; Malvales; Malvaceae.